This 24-nucleotide non-coding RNA is filed under the name Arabidopsis thaliana (thale cress). The record is from RNAcentral. Lineage: Eukaryota; Viridiplantae; Streptophyta; Magnoliopsida; Brassicales; Brassicaceae.
AGUUAUAUUUUCUGCGAGUGAGUA